GACGAACGCUGGCGGCGUGCCUAAUACAUGCAAGUAGAACGCACAGGAUGCACCGUAGUUUACUACACCGUAUUCUGUGAGUUGCGAACGGGUGAGUAACGCGUAGGUAACCUGCCUGGUAGCGGGGGAUAACUAUUGGAAACGAUAGCUAAUACCGCAUAAGCACAUUUACUGCAUGGUAGAUGUUUAAAAGGUGCAAAUGCAUCACUACCAGAUGGACCUGCGUUGUAUUAGCUAGUAGGUGAGGUAACGGCUCACCUAGGCGACGAUACAUAGCCGACCUGAGAGGGUGAUCGGCCACACUGGGACUGAGACACGGCCCAGACUCCUACGGGAGGCAGCAGUAGGGAAUCUUCGGCAAUGGGGGGAACCCUGACCGAGCAACGCCGCGUGAGUGAAGAAGGUUUUCGGAUCGUAAAGCUCUGUUGUUAAGGAAGAACGAGUGUGAGAAUGGAAAGUUCAUACUGUGACGGUACUUAACCAGAAAGGGACGGCUAACUACGUG
Molecule: ribosomal RNA, 505 nt
Filed under: uncultured bacterium
Lineage: Bacteria
Description: partial 16S ribosomal RNA
Rfam family: Bacterial small subunit ribosomal RNA
Source: RNAcentral